This is a non-coding RNA of Chelonoidis abingdonii (Abingdon island giant tortoise), 123 nucleotides long. The record is from RefSeq and is a predicted model, not a curated record. NCBI's taxonomy places the organism in Eukaryota, Metazoa, Chordata, Testudines, Testudinidae.
GGGGGUUGUACCGUACGACUGGAGAAUUGCUAACGUAGUUCCUAUUUUAAGAAAAGGGAAAAAAAGUGAUCCGGUAAUUUAUAGGCCUGUUAGCGUGUGACGUCUGGAGUAUUCAAGGUCUUG